CGGCGAGUGGCGACGGGUGAGUAAUACAUCGGAACGUGCCCUGUAGUGGGGGAUAACUAGUCGAAAGACUAGCUAAUACCGCAUACGACCUGAGGGUGAAAGUGGGGGACCGCAAGGCCUCAUGCUAUAGGAGCGGCCGAUGUCUGAUUAGCUAGUUGGUGGGGUAAAGGCCCACCAAGGCGACGAUCAGUAGCUGGUCUGAGAGGACGAUCAGCCACACUGGGACUGAGACACGGCCCAGACUCCUACGGGAGGCAGCAGUGGGGAAUUUUGGACAAUGGGGGCAACCCUGAUCCAGCAAUGCCGCGUGUGUGAAGAAGGCCUUCGGGUUGUAAAGCACUUUUGUCCGGAAAGAAAUCGCACUGGUUAAUACCUGGUGUGGAUGACGGUACCGGAAGAAUAAGGACCGGCUAACUACGUGCCAGCAGCCGCGGUAAUACGUAGGGUCCAAGCGUUAAUCGGAAUUACUGGGCGUAAAGCGUGCGCAGGCGGUUGUGCAAGACCGAUGUGAAAUCCCCGGGCUUAACCUGGGAAUUGCAUUGGUGACUGCACGGCUAGAGUGUGUCAGAGGGAGGUAGAAUUCCACGUGUAGCAGUGAAAUGCGUAGAGAUGUGGAGGAAUACCGAUGGCGAAGGCAGCCUCCUGGGAUAACACUGACGCUCAUGCACGAAAGCGUGGGGAGCAAACAGGAUUAGAUACCCUGGUAGUCCACGCCCUAAACGAUGUCAACUAGUUGUUGGGGAUUCAUUUCCUUAGUAACGUAGCUAACGCGUGAAGUUGACCGCCUGGGGAGUACGGUCGCAAGAUUAAAACUCAAAGGAAUUGACGGGGACCCGCACAAGCGGUGGAUGAUGUGGAUUAAUUCGAUGCAACGCGAAAAACCUUACCUACCCUUGACAUGCCACUAACGAAGCAGAGAUGCAUUAGGUGCUCGAAAGAGAAAGUGGACACAGGUGCUGCAUGGCUGUCGUCAGCUCGUGUCGUGAGAUGUUGGGUUAAGUCCCGCAACGAGCGCAACCCUUGUCUCUAGUUGCUACGAAAGGGCACUCUAGAGAGACUGCCGGUGACAAACCGGAGGAAGGUGGGGAUGACGUCAAGUCCUCAUGGCCCUUAUGGGUAGGGCUUCACACGUCAUACAAUGGUGCAUACAGAGGGUUGCCAAGCCGCGAGGUGGAGCUAAUCCCAGAAAAUGCAUCGUAGUCCGGAUCGUAGUCUGCAACUCGACUACGUGAAGCUGGAAUCGCUAGUAAUCGCGGAUCAGCA
This 1263-nucleotide ribosomal RNA is filed under the name Ralstonia solanacearum. RNAcentral's name for it is "bacterial SSU rRNA". It matches the Rfam family "Bacterial small subunit ribosomal RNA", at positions 89 to 1354 of the family's 1533-position model. The record is from RNAcentral. Lineage: Bacteria; Pseudomonadati; Pseudomonadota; Betaproteobacteria; Burkholderiales; Burkholderiaceae.